Molecule: long non-coding RNA, 2432 nt
Organism: Setaria italica (foxtail millet)
Lineage: Eukaryota; Viridiplantae; Streptophyta; Magnoliopsida; Poales; Poaceae
Exons: 2
Source: RefSeq, a predicted model, not a curated record
ACGUGACAUAUCUCUCGUUCACCACUCCUCUCGGUGAUUUGCGGCGCCGGCGGGGAAGACGGCGAGUGGCGCCGUGCGGGCCAACAGGAGCAGCAGGGAGGGCGGGCCAACGGCGGGGAUGCGGCGCGCGGCCCCUCGCGAGUAGCGGCCACCGGUGGGGAGGGCGGGUCCGCGCGAGCAGCAAUGAGGGGAGGGCGGUGAGCGACAGGUGCGCCGGUCGCCGCCGCGGUCGGAUCCGAGCAGGGCACGCGCACACCCCCAUCUCCCCACACCGCUUGCCGCCGUGCUAGGGCCCCUUCUCCGCGAUGUGGAAGCGAAGGUGACGGCAGUGGAGGAGGUGCUUCGCGCCAACACCCGCCGAGAUCUCCACCUCCUCCGCCUCUUACUGCCACACUCUGCCCCCUCUAAUCGCGAAGGCCUCAGGUACCCACCCCAUCUUCGCAUGUGCUCUGGUAAAUUUGUCUGCCUCAUGAAACUGUUCGAACGGAAUUCAUAGAUGUGGUGAUCAAUGUGAUAGAGCAGGCAUGUAUCAAUACUAGUUUGUUUCUUUGCUGAGGUCAUAAUAUCCCAUUUUUUCAGUCUCAUAGAUCUAAAGAACGCAAAUAUAAAUGAUGAUGUACUUCCAAUUACUCACUGAACUCAAGCUAUAAAUGAAGAAGUAAUAGAGAGCCGAAGAUUAAGGCGCUGGGGUUUGUGUUGCACAUUCAUGUAUAGGUUGUGCCGUUGUGGAAGGGGUUUCGGAAUUGUUCAUUUGUAGCUGCAUAGUUGUUAGGUUCUGCCCCAAGUUCAAUCUAAAUGUAUGCUUGUUUGAGCUCGGUUGCCUGAGGUAGUUAGUUGUAUCUUGUUUGGGUUCAAGAUGCACCUUGACAAGCCAGAUUGCUCAGUGUCAUGACUUAACUGAAAUGUCUGAUUCCAUUGAAUGGUGCAAAGAACUUGCUGAUUCUUUUGAAGUGCCUACACUCUCAGAACUGCACCGGCAACUGGUUGGCGAAGGUUCUCAUCGUCACGGCGUCACUUAGUCAAUGAUCUGGCGCCAGACUCUGAUGAGGCUUUACCUGCUCAUAGCUAUUAUUAAAGACUAGCUCCAUAGGCACUUGGUCCUUCUCAAACAAAGUUGGAUGCAAUUUCUAGAGAUUUGCUUGUUCUAUGUUACCUUAGAUCCCUCGCUCAGUGGCUUUUGAUCAUGUGGAUGCAUGUAAACACUAGAAGUAGGUUCCUUGUGGACGCUAGAUAAGCCGUACAGAGGUAGGUUUCUUGUAGAUGCUAGAUAUGCUGUCAGUAACUGUAAUCCCAUUGUUUAUUGGUUUUUGUAUUUCAGACAUCGGGCUUCUGAUGCAAGCAAUACAUGUUAGACUAAAAAAAAUCAAAGAAUUCUCAAACAUUUCUCUCGACAGAAUUUCAUCACAAAUAUGAUGCCAUAAUGGCAUUUGGCGGAGAACAGAAGCAUCUUUCAACUUCAGGCUAUGAUCAGAAAGGGAACAGACGAACAGUCAGCUCUAAACUACACCAAUCCUGUCUCUGCACCAAUCCUGUCACAGGAAGGUCUCAGCCUCACGGCGCCGACGAGGAGCAGGCGUGCCGGUGCCGGGGGCGGCGACGGAACUGGAUGCAAGCGCCCCGCGAGGCUACGGUGGCACGUGGAGGAGGCACCCUAGGACGGCGGCGGAGCGGGAUGCAGGCGGCCAGGCACUCUGGGGCAGCGCCGCAGUGGCCCUGGGGCGGCGGCUGGGCAGGGGCUGCACGGGAACCAAGCGCCCUGGGACGACGGCCGGUGAACCGCGCCUAGUAGGAACGAUCCAUGCGGGCUGCGGCCGGUGGGGUCGCGGGGAAGAUGCGCGGAAAACAGGACCGAUGCGGAAAAAAUAAUAACUGCGUAAUAAUUACUAAGUUACCCUUAGGUUAUCUAUACCACCUGUCGAAAGGGGCAGAAGGGAGGACAGCGCUAAGAAGGUCAACGUGCUGUGGGAUCAAGCGUCACCCGACUCGAAGCACCACCGGUUGAGCCUGCUACAUAUCAUAGGCUUUGCAGUGGAUGAGAAGCUGAUGAAAUACAUAAGGCUUGUUAUGGAGCUAGCCUCGGGCUUGAAGAGGAUCUGCUUGCUUGACCAACAGCCCUGCGCUAGGUGUGAUGCCAUGGACGAUACUCAGUCUCCAUCACGGAACAGAUGGAGAUUCCCGGUUGAGGAAGAGGAGAAGGAAGUAAUGAGGCAUCAGCUUGUAGAUGGCUUAUCCUCUUCUUCUGUUGAAAUAAGCAUCGGAUGACAUGGGUCUCCCAUCAUCCCAACAGAUAAUUGUAAUUCCAGCUCUAGCUUUUUCCUGGAGCACUGUUAUUAGAUCAUGGCUUGCAUUGUAAUCGUGUAGUAUAAUAGCAAAUAAUUGUUAUUUUCCAGGCAACCAUAACUUAUUGUGCUUAAUUGUUGAUUGCAAUGACA